CAGCAGUAGCCACGGUAAUACGGAGGGGGCUAGCGUUGUUCGGAAUUACUGGGCGUAAAGCGCACGUAGGCGGCUUGGUAAGUUAGAGGUGAAAGCCUGGAGCUCAACUCCAGAAUUGCCUUUAAGACUGCCGAGCUAGCAGGUGAGAGAGGUAAGUGGAAUUCCGAGUGUAGAGGUGAAAUUCGUAGAUAUUCGGAAGAACACCAGUGGCGAAGGCGGCUUACUGGCUCAUACUGGACGCUGAGGUGCGAAAGCGUGGGGAGCAAACAGGAUUAGAUACCCCUGUAGUCCCUGUCUCUUAUAA
RNAcentral lists this ribosomal RNA (304 nucleotides) under uncultured bacterium. RNAcentral's name for it is "partial 16S ribosomal RNA". It matches the Rfam family "Bacterial small subunit ribosomal RNA", at positions 506 to 809 of the family's 1533-position model. The record is from RNAcentral.